UACGUAGGGUGCACGCGUUGUCCGGAUUUAUUGGGUUUAAAGGGUGCGUAGGCGGUCUAUUAAGUCAGUGUUUAAAUUUUGCAGCUUAACUGUAGGUAUGGCAUUGAUACUGAUGGACUUGAAUAUUAUAGAGGUAGCUGGAAUUUAUGGUGUAGCGGUGAAAUGCAUAGAUACCAUAAGGAACACCGAUAGCGGAGGCAGGUUACCAUGUGAUUAUUGACGCUGAGGCACGAAAGUGUGGGGAUCAAACAGG
Molecule: ribosomal RNA, 253 nt
Filed under: uncultured bacterium
Lineage: Bacteria
Description: partial 16S ribosomal RNA
Rfam family: Bacterial small subunit ribosomal RNA
Source: RNAcentral